RNAcentral lists this ribosomal RNA (457 nucleotides) under uncultured organism. RNAcentral's name for it is "eukaryotic LSU rRNA". The stretch from base 92 to 245 matches the Rfam family "5.8S ribosomal RNA". The record is from RNAcentral.
GGGCGACCCUGCCUUCGGGCGGGGGCUCCGGGUGGACACUUCAAACUCUUGCGUAACUUUGCAGUCUGAGUAAACCCACCUAAUAAAUUAAAACUUUUAACAACGGAUCUCUUGGUUCUGGCAUCGAUGAAGAACGCAGCGAAAUGCGAUAAGUAAUGUGAAUUGCAGAAUUCAGUGAAUCAUCGAAUCUUUGAACGCACAUUGCGCCCCCUGGUAUUCCGGGGGGCAUGCCUGUUCGAGCGUCAUUUCACCACUCAAGCCUCGCUUGGUAUUGGGCAACGCGGUCCGCCGCGUGCCUCAAAUCGACCGGCUGGGUCUUCUGUCCCCUAAGCGUUGUGGAAACUAUUCGCUAAAGGGUGCUCGGGAGGCUACGCCGUAAAACAAACCCAUUUCUAAGGUUGACCUCGGAUCAGGUAGGGAUACCCGCUGAACUUAAGCAUAUCAAUAAGCGGAGGAA